UAGCGGCGAGCGAACGGGGAGCAGCCCAGAGCCUGAAUCAGUGUGUGUGUUAGUGGAAGCGUCUGGAAAGGCGUGCGAUACAGGGUGACAGCCCCGUACACAAAAAUGCACAUAUUGUGAGCUCGAUGAGUAGGGCGGGACACGUGGUAUCCUGUCUGAAUAUGGGGGGACCAUCCUCCAAGGCUAAAUACUCCUGACUGACCGAUAGUGAACCAGUACCGUGAGGGAAAGGCGAAAAGAACCCCGGCGAGGGGAGUGAAAAAGAACCUGAAACCGUGUACGUACAAGCAGUGGGAGCACGCUUAGGCGUGUGACUGCGUACCUUUUGUAUAAUGGGUCAGCGACUUAUAUUCUGUAGCAAGGUUAACCGAAUAGGGGAGCCGAAGGGAAACCGAGUCUUAACUGGGCGUUAAGUUGCAGGGUAUAGACCCGAAACCCGGUGAUCUAGCCAUGGGCAGGUUGAAGGUUGGGUAACACUAACUGGAGGACCGAACCGACUAAUGUUGAAAAAUUAGCGGAUGACUUGUGGCUGGGGGUGAAAGGCCAAUCAAACCGGGAGAUAGCUGGUUCUCCCCGAAAGCUAUUUAGGUAGCGCCUCGUGAAUUCAUCUCCGGGGGUAGAGCACUGUUUCGGCAAGGGGGUCAUCCCGACUUACCAACCCGAUGCAAACUGCGAAUACCGGAGAAUGUUAUCACGGGAGACACACGGCGGGUGCUAACGUCCGUCGUGAAGAGGGAAACAACCCAGACCGCCAGCUAAGGUCCCA
This 766-nucleotide ribosomal RNA is filed under the name Escherichia coli. RNAcentral describes it as "partial 23S ribosomal RNA". It matches the Rfam family "Bacterial large subunit ribosomal RNA", at positions 244 to 1049 of the family's 2925-position model. Lineage: Bacteria; Pseudomonadati; Pseudomonadota; Gammaproteobacteria; Enterobacterales; Enterobacteriaceae. The record is from RNAcentral.